GUGGGAUUCCCUUUGUGGGGUGCACCAUCGACCGACCGUGAGCUUUUGCGAAAGGUUCGAGUGAAAGUAUACCUGUUGGGACCCGAAAGAUGGUGAACUAUGCCUGAGCAGGGCGAAGCCAGAGGAAACUCUGGUGGAGGCUCGUAGCGAUACUGACGUGCAAAUCGUUCGUCAGACUUGGGUAUAGGGGCGAAAGACUAAUCGAACCAUCUAGUAGCUGGUUCCCUCCGAAGUAUCCCUCAGGAUAGCUGGAGCUCAUAUUGAGAGUUUUAUCAGGUAAAGCGAAUGAUUAGAGGCAUUGGGGGUGAAACACCCUCGACCUAUUCUCAAACUUUAAAUAGGUAAGGUGUCGGGGUUGCUCCGCUGAACCCCGACCUUUGAAUCUGAGCUCCAAGUGGGCCAUUUUUGGUAAGCAGAACUGGCGAUGCGGGAUGAACCGAAAGUCGAGCUACGGUGCCAAAGUGCGCGC
RNAcentral lists this ribosomal RNA (469 nucleotides) under Selaginella helvetica. RNAcentral's name for it is "partial 26S ribosomal RNA". It matches the Rfam family "Eukaryotic large subunit ribosomal RNA", at positions 735 to 1200 of the family's 3401-position model. The record is from RNAcentral. Lineage: Eukaryota; Viridiplantae; Streptophyta; Lycopodiopsida; Selaginellales; Selaginellaceae.